CGGUUAUUGCAAGAAGCAAAUUUUGCUAAUUUCUUGUGUGUCCCCUCUAUCUUAAUCAUCACAGCUGAGAAAUAUAUAUCUUGAUUCAUCUAAGACCCAUCUUUUUUUUUUUUGUGGUUACAUUAAAAGGGAUCGUUAAUAAUAACUCAAGAUUCCCCACCAUCAACAAUAAGCUAGAAAGGUCAACAAGUCGUUAAUCUUGUCUUGUAUGGUAAGGUCAAGAAAGACAG
This 230-nucleotide long non-coding RNA is filed under the name Prunus persica (peach). RNAcentral's name for it is "long non-coding RNA (PPER_LNC001635)". Lineage: Eukaryota; Viridiplantae; Streptophyta; Magnoliopsida; Rosales; Rosaceae. The record is from RNAcentral.